Molecule: transfer RNA, 73 nt
Filed under: Sphaerisporangium siamense
Lineage: Bacteria; Bacillati; Actinomycetota; Actinomycetes; Streptosporangiales; Streptosporangiaceae
Description: tRNA-Met
Rfam family: tRNA
About the family: Transfer RNA (tRNA) molecules are approximately 80 nucleotides in length. Their secondary structure includes four short double-helical elements and three loops (D, anti-codon, and T loops). Further hydrogen bonds mediate the characteristic L-shaped molecular structure. tRNAs have two regions of fundamental functional importance: the anti-codon, which is responsible for specific mRNA codon recognition, and the 3' end, to which the tRNAs corresponding amino acid is attached (by aminoacyl-tRNA synthetases). tRNAs cope with the degeneracy of the genetic code in two manners: having more than one tRNA (with a specific anti-codon) for a particular amino acid; and 'wobble' base-pairing, i.e. permitting non-standard base-pairing at the 3rd anti-codon position.
Source: RNAcentral
GGCGGAGUAGAGCAGUUGGUAGCUCGUCGGCCCCAUAAGUCGAAGGUCCUCGGUUCGAAUCCGAGCUCCGCUA